Molecule: ribosomal RNA, 246 nt
Filed under: uncultured bacterium
Lineage: Bacteria
Description: partial 16S ribosomal RNA
Rfam family: Bacterial small subunit ribosomal RNA
Source: RNAcentral
AGAUGGCGACCGGCGCACGGGUGAGUAACACGUAUCCAACCUGCCGAUAACUCGGGGAUAGCCUUUCGAAAGAAAGAUUAAUACCCGAUGGCAUAAUUAGACCGCAUGGUCUUAUUAUUAAAGAAUUUCGGUUAUCGAUGGGGAUGCGUUCCAUUAGGCAGUUGGUGAGGUAACGGCUCACCAAACCUUCGAUGGAUAGGGGUUCUGAGAGGAAGGUCCCCACAUUGGAACUGAGACACGGUCCAA